Molecule: ribosomal RNA, 429 nt
Filed under: Acidobacteriota bacterium
Lineage: Bacteria; Pseudomonadati; Acidobacteriota
Description: Acidobacteria bacterium partial 16S ribosomal RNA
Rfam family: Bacterial small subunit ribosomal RNA
Source: RNAcentral
UGGGGAAUUUUGGACAAUGGGGGAAACCCUGAUCCAGCCAUCCCGCGUGUGCGAUGAAGGCCUUCGGGUUGUAAAGCACUUUUGGCAGGAAAGAAACGUCAUGGGUUAAUACCCCGUGAAACUGACGGUACCUGCAGAAUAAGCACCGGCUAACUACGUGCCAGCAGCCGCGGUAAUACGUAGGGUGCAAGCGUUAAUCGGAAUUACUGGGCGUAAAGCGUGCGCAGGCGGUUCGGAAAGAAAGAUGUGAAAUCCCAGAGCUCAACUUUGGAACUGCAUUUUUAACUACCGGGCUAGAGUGUGUCAGAGGGAGGUGGAAUUCCGCGUGUAGCAGUGAAAUGCGUAGAUAUGCGGAGGAACACCGAUGGCGAAGGCAGACUCCUGGGAUAACACUGAUGCUCAUGCACGAAAGCGUGGGGAGCAAACAGG